This 372-nucleotide ribosomal RNA is filed under the name uncultured organism. Its description in RNAcentral is "partial 16S ribosomal RNA". It matches the Rfam family "Bacterial small subunit ribosomal RNA", at positions 527 to 896 of the family's 1533-position model. The record is from RNAcentral.
GUAGGUGGCAAGCGUUGUCCGGAAUUAUUGGGCGUAAAGCGCGCGCAGGCGGUCCUUUAAGUCUGAUGUGAAAGCCCACGGCUCAACCGUGGAGGGUCAUUGGAAACUGGGGGACUUGAGUACAGAAGAGGAAAGCAGAAUUCCAAGUGUAGCGGUGAAAUGCGUAGAGAUUUGGAGGAACACCAGUGGCGAAGGCGGCUUUCUGGUCUGUAACUGACGCUGAGGCGCGAAAGCGUGGGGAGCAAACAGGGAUUAGAUACCCUGGUAGUCCACGCCGUAAACGAUGAGUGCUAAGUGUUAGGGGGUUUCCGCCCCCUUAGUGCUGCAGCUAACGCAUUAAGCACUCCGCCUGGGGAUACGGCCGCAAGGCUG